GAGCUAUGAUGAUAUAGGCUUCAGCAUUGGUUGGGUCCAUUGCAUUCUUCUGAACUAUCAGUUGAUGUAUGCCACACCUCUGAGCUC
Molecule: small nucleolar RNA, 87 nt
Organism: Arabidopsis thaliana (thale cress)
Lineage: Eukaryota; Viridiplantae; Streptophyta; Magnoliopsida; Brassicales; Brassicaceae
Source: RefSeq